RNAcentral lists this long non-coding RNA (3851 nucleotides) under Homo sapiens (human). Its description in RNAcentral is "HSALNT0348519". Lineage: Eukaryota; Metazoa; Chordata; Mammalia; Primates; Hominidae. The record is from RNAcentral.
GCACAGCUCCGGGCAGCGACCCGCGAUGCGGCAUCCUUCCGUCCGGUCGGAGCCCUCCUAGCCCUCAGCGCGUCUAUUCCUAGCUUCGGUCCCCGCAGCCAUAUAAGCAAUGACACCCUCGCCGACUCGCCUGCCAGCUUGGCCGCCUCCCUGCAGAGGGCUGACGCUUCUCCAGAAGUUAUAUAAGCUCCAUGAGAACAGCCACCUUGUUUACCUUGUUCAUGGAUACAGAACAGUGCCUGGUGCUCAAUAAAUGAACAGUGAGUGAAUAAGUGAGUGUUGAGUCAUCUAAGUGAGCUUAGAUGAACUGACAAUGAGACUGUGCACAAUGAAGAGAAAGGAGGACUCUUGAGGAAUUCCACCAGCUUGAAGAUGGCUGAAGAAAGAUGACAGAAAGCAAUCAGAGGGAUGGAGGGCAAACUAAGAAAGCAGAGUCAAGAGUAGGAAGAUUGGGAAGUGGUAGACAACAUUAGGAAAUACUGCAGAAAAACCUAAAAGGAUGAGAAUUAGGAAAGACACUAUUGAAUUUGGUCUUUGGGGCUGAAAAAAAAGGCAGCUGCAGAAAAGAAAUUGGAGUGGAACCCCAUUUGCACAGAAAUUAUGGAGUAAUUAGGACACCAGGCAGAAAGUUUGGCAAUGAAUGGAAGGAGAGAUGACAGCCUUGGGCAUUCGCUCGCAGAACGCAAGGACAUUCAUUCUUAAUUCAGUAGAAAAGUGUCGUGUUGUUACUGUCUCAAGUGGAAGCGCCCUCUCACUCCUUCAUUGUCCUAAGAGAACAAAAGGGGCCUUGAAUUUCAUGACUGCCCCAGUGAUGCUUCUGAGAGCUUGAGCUUUGGAAUCAGACUGCCCACAUUCAAACCCCAGUUCUUCCUAUUGCUGGCUGUGUGAUUUGGGGAAAAUUACUUGAUUCCCUAAGUUUUCUCAUCUGUGAAAUGGGGAUUCACUCAGUUAGUGAAUAUUAUUCAGCUCCUACCAUGUGCAGACACUGUUCUAGUGGGGGAUUCAGCAUACCAGCAGUAAAUGGAUCUCUGUACAAUGCCAAAAACAUGAAGCCAACUAUUCAUAGUAUUUUUAAGUGAUAUCCUGGUGCUGCUUCCAGGAAGAUGGAGUAGAUAUACUUUUCCCUAUUGCUCCCACUAAGUACAACUAAAACCCUGGACAUUAUGUAUAAACAUGCAUAAGAAGAUGCUGAAAGGUGGUAAGAAAGCAGACUGGCCAGGGACUUUGCGAUCCAAGGAACAACCUGGUGAUGAGUUUCCUGUACCCCAGACUUGGGAUAAAGGAGCUGGCAACCCAGAAAUGCCAACGGGAGCAAAUAAAAAAUCCCCAACAAAAGCCUGUUUCUCUAGACAAAGGACUAGGACAGGGGCAGCCUAACAAAACAGAAAACUCUUAGUAACAACUUACUCCAGCUAAAUAGCACAGAAAAACCUAUGGUCCACUCCCACCCACACCACCCAAGGGUGUGGGAGUCCAGGCUAUCACAAGGGGCCUCGCCUCCACUGGUGUGGUAUCGCAAAAGCCACAGGGAGCUGGUUCUUUCAUCCCCAUCUGACAAAAGGCUCCCACCCCCAUGGUGUCAGCGGAGACCACACUGGGAGCCUGAACUUCCACCCACUCACAGCUGUAACAAGGCAGUCCCUCCACCUCCCUGCUGGGGUGGUGUCAGAGGAGGCCAAGUGGAGAGUCAGGACUUUCACCAUAGCCCAGUGACAAUGAAGCCACCUCCCUAUGGUGUCAGUGGAGGCCAUAAGGAACAGUAACGAGGUCUAGUGGGAAUCCAGAACUGCCACCCUGCCCAGCAGUAACCAGGAGCCCCUCCCCUCCGUGUGGACAGAGGCCAAGUGCUGAAGCUGGACUUUGCUCCCCCUAGCCCUGCUAGGUGGCUAUUAGAACAGCCAGCUAAAACUGGUUUCACCAAGACAGAUUUAGGAAGACAGUGCCCCGGGCAGGAAAAUGAAGGCACGGAGAGGUUAAAUAUAAUAACUUGCUAGUGGUCAAUCAGUAGGCAGUAGAGGAGCCAGCAUAUAAACCCAAGCUGCCCAGCUGCAGAACCACAUUCUUGUCCCAUAUGCUAUGCCUCUCAAAAAAGGAGGCCCUCUCCUUGGGACACAAAGGUAAUAAAAAUGCCUGCCCUGAGCUGUGUCUCUGUCUAGGUACACAGUUCAUGAGUGAAGGAGCUCCUGGAGUCAUGAAUAAUGGAAGUCCAGAUUGGUCAAGUAACUUGUCCCAGCCCCAGCCCAUGCAUCUGGUAUGUGGUUGGACAGGUUUCUAACUCAUUACGUAACAUCAAGAACAUUUUAAACUGCUUUGAGACAUUUGUGAAUUAAGAUCUCAAUAAAUAGUCCUCCCUGGCACCAGCUCCAUCCACAUUAAAUGAGACUUGAAAAUUUCUUUGAAUGGAUAUUAGUUUAGAAGGAGCUAAGUUAUUAGUUGGCCUCACAUUCCUCAGUUGGGCCCUGGGCCCAGCAUGCCACUUCUCCUGGUUAUUAUGGUUCACAUCUGAGGUAACCCAUCGGGAAACUGGAUGGGACAACAAACUAAAAAUGUUUUAGUUUGGACCUGUCCAAAACCAAGAGAAUAAAAACAAAAUGGAUAGUCAAGAUGAUUCAGAGCUAUGGAAUGUGUCAUUUUUGCUCAGAAGCGUGCUAACUUGCAGUGUGGUUUAUCAAAGCCUUGAAUUUAUCGUCUUCCUUGUUUCUGCUGCCUUUUCACUGUUAGAAGAGGGAGAAGGAGGAAAACAAAAAAGGAAACCAAAAAGAGAAAAUGCCUUAUUUUUCUCAUUCUCAUUAAACACAGUGAAAGAGAGAACUGAAGGGAUUGACUGAAAUUUGAUUUUCCUAGACUCUACCCCACUUUAGACAAUGAUUUAAAAAACCUAGAUUUAUGAAAAUGAUCAAGUGAAGAGUGACUACCCACUUCAGAGUUUUUAUUUUUAAUAAAAGGGUUUUAGGAGAACUUUUUUUUUAAAAGUGAUUUCCUUUAUUUAAAAUACCCUUCAUGCUGGGCACAGUGGCUCACACCCAUAAUGCCAGCACUUUGAGAGGCCAAGACAGGGAGAUUACCUGAGCCCAGCCCAGGCAACAUAGUGAGACCCUGUCUCUCAAAAAAAAAAAAAAAAAAAAAAAGCAAGCAAGCAAGCCAGGCAUGAUGGCACAUGCCUAUAGACCCAGCUACUUGGGAGGCUGAGGUGGGAGGAUCAUUUGAGCUCAGGAGUUCAAGGUUAUAGUGAGCCAUGAUCACUCCACUGCACUACAGCCUGGGUAACAGAGACCCCAUUUCUCAAAAUAAAAUAAAUACCCUUCAGGCUCAGAUAUAUAUAGAAAUUGAGUACAGAUAUAUGCUCAGAAUGGCUUUUCAAAUCUGAUGGUAUUGGCUUAAGUGGACAACCAUCUGUGGAUGCAUACUUCACACCUUGCUUCAAAUUCAUUCCAUGUGGAUCUAAAUGCAAGAAAUGAAAACAUGAAAGUACUAAAAGAAAUCGUGGGAGAAAAGGUUUUAUAAACUUCAAGGGGACAAAUAUAAAGAACUAAAUCAAAGGAUAAACAAAUGGAUUUUAAAUAUAUAAAAGGUGCUCAAAUUCACCCAUAAUAAAGGCAAAUGAAACUAUACCUAGAAGUGACAGAAGUAUAUAAAUCCCAUGUUCUAUCCCACCCUAAAAAUCCUUAUCAAUACUAGCAAAGGUUAUGCUGGCUUUUCAGAGAAUAUUCCAUGGGAUGGUGGCUUAAGCAACUUUAUUUGGUUAUUAAAGGAAAGGUAGACCUCAUAAGGCUGGGAGGCCUUAAGUACAUUUGGAUUAUAACUGCAAAAUAAGAGAAAAGAACAUACUCCCACUAAAUAAAACAUCUUCU